CCUACGGGAGGCUGCAGUGGGGGAUAUUGCACAAUGGAGGGAACUCUGAUGCAGCGACGCCGCGUGAGGGAAGAAGGUUUUCGGAUUGUAAACCUCUGUCUGCGGUGACGAAACGAGACGGUAGACGAGGAGGACGCAACGUCUAACUACGUGACACCAGCCGCGAGAAUACGUAGGUGGCAAGCGUUGUCCGGAAUUACUGGGUGUAAAGGGAGCGUAGGCGGGGAAGUAAGUUGAAUGUUUAAGGUACGGGCUCAACCUGUACAAGCGUUCAAAACUGGUUUUCUUGAGUGGAGUAGAGGUAAGCGGAAUGCGUAGUGUAGCGGUGAAAUGCGUAAAUAUUAGGAGGAACACCAGUGGCGAAGGCGGCUUACUGGGCUUUAACUGACGCUGAGGCUCGAAAGCGUGGGUAGCAAACAGGAUUAGAUACCCCUGUAGUC
Molecule: ribosomal RNA, 440 nt
Filed under: uncultured bacterium
Lineage: Bacteria
Description: partial 16S ribosomal RNA
Rfam family: Bacterial small subunit ribosomal RNA
Source: RNAcentral